This 499-nucleotide ribosomal RNA is filed under the name uncultured bacterium. Its description in RNAcentral is "bacterial SSU rRNA". It matches the Rfam family "Bacterial small subunit ribosomal RNA", at positions 230 to 720 of the family's 1533-position model. The record is from RNAcentral.
CCUACGGCCGAUUAGCUAGUUGUGGAGUAAAGGCUCACCAAGGCGAUGAUCGGUAGCUGGUCUGAGAGGAUGGCCAGCCACACUGGAACUGAGACACGGUCCAGACUCCUACGGGAGGCAGCAGUGGGGAAUCUUGCGCAAUGGACGAAAGUCUGACGCAGCGACGCCGCGUGGGUGACGAAGGCCUUCGGGUUGUAAAGCCCUGUGGGGAGAGACGAACCGGCAUCUGGCUAACAUCCAGGUGCUCUGACGGUAUCUCCUUAGCAAGCAUCGGCUAACUCUGUGCCAGCAGCCGCGGUAAGACAGAGGAUGCAAACGUUGCUCGGAAUUACUGGGCGUAAAGCGCGCGCAGGCGGUCCCGUAAGUCGGGUGUGAAAGCCCCGGGGCUCAACCCGGGAAGUGCACUCGAUACUGCGAGACUGGAGUACUGGAGAGGAGAGCGGAAUUCUCGGUGUAGAGGUGAAAUUCGUAGAUAUCGGGAGGAACACCAGCGGCGAAG